Molecule: ribosomal RNA, 253 nt
Filed under: uncultured bacterium
Lineage: Bacteria
Description: partial 16S ribosomal RNA
Rfam family: Bacterial small subunit ribosomal RNA
Source: RNAcentral
UACGUAGGGUGCAAGCGUUAAUCGGAAUUACUGGGCGUAAAGCGUGCGCAGGCGGCUUUGUAAGUCUGGCGUGAAAUCCCCGGGCUUAACCUGGGAAUUGCGUUGGAGACUGCAAGGCUGGAGUCUGGCAGAGGGGGGUAGAAUUCCACGUGUAGCAGUGAAAUGCGUAGAGAUGUGGAGGAACACCGAUGGCGAAGGCAGCCCCCUGGGUCAAGACUGACGCUCAUGCACGAAAGCGUGGGGAGCAAACAGG